GAAACGAUGGAAGUCAACGUGUACAAAGCUGUAGCCACUCGGGUUUACACGUCAGGUGCAAAUAUGUUGUACCUGUUUUCUCGAAUUAGCAACUGUGAUUGGUUCGAUUGUAAAUGGACGUUUAUUGCGUCGCUUCCAGCGAAUGCAACUGAUUUCAAAUUGUGUCGCGAUAAAGAAACGAGAACGUACAGCAAUGGGAUCAUUCAACCGUUUGAUCAUGUGUUAGAUCAGCCGAGAGAGUGUUGGUUUAACAUAAUCGCACGUCUAAAUCGCAAGGAAAAUUCAAAUAUCGUAUGAGUUUGUCAGCCUCAAUUCAACUACAAGUUUCUUGAAAAUAAGUGGAAUUAAGGAAUACUUGGUGAGUCCACCUGUACUGGACAAAGUCUACAUAUCGUACAUCAAUAAACAAAUCGGCGUGAGGGCUCGUCUCAACCACCGCGAUUCGUUUGUGUGCAACUGGGCAACUGUGUGAAAACAUUUGCAAUGUUUCAUUAGGUUUCCUCUCGAGUUAAGUAUGUUUUAUAUCCUAACAUUGCUGCAGAUUUGUUACGUUAAAUAACUUUAAUUGAAUAACAGGUGGCGGUUGGUUGAGGGAACAUUUGUGUUAUGCUAAUUUAUUUGAAUAAUAGGGUAUCAUCUAGACACGUAAAUGCAACAGGGAACAAAAAGCGUAUUGAAAUCAUAGAAGGGAUGAAAUUGUGUCGAAAGUGAAUUCUGAUGCAUUAGCUGGUCUGUCAAAGAUGCCGUUAUUCGGUUCUUUACCGUCGAUGCAGUGCACCGUUUUGGGGUUAUGGUAGAAAGCUUGAUUGACGAAAUGGGAUCCGUUCAUUUGAUCUGUCGAUUUUGUUGUCCAUAUGACGGACUUGCGCACAAAGCAUGGAUCAUUACAUUUGCGUGGCAUAUCAAUGAAGAUGCUACAUUUAAUCCAUGAAAGUGAACGUAUUAUUAACAACACUUGUGUUUGUUUUUUUUUUAGUGACAAAAUUACGAAUUAGAGGUGCGGAGACGUAUUCCGGCUUUGACAGCACACAGGCCCACCAAGUACAUAUCAUCCCAAAUGAAAUAAGGCGUGGUUUGUACGGCUGCCAGAAGUGAACGAAUUGCACUGCCAGCAAUCACGAUUCCAGCUCCUUGAAAGUAGAUUGGAAGCCUUUGCCAAGGCCAAAUUUCGUCGUCCAUUUAUCUGC
Daphnia carinata is the source of this 1187-nucleotide long non-coding RNA. RefSeq lists it as uncharacterized. The transcript is spliced from 3 exons. The record is from RefSeq and is a predicted model, not a curated record. NCBI's taxonomy places the organism in Eukaryota, Metazoa, Arthropoda, Branchiopoda, Diplostraca, Daphniidae.